Molecule: ribosomal RNA, 484 nt
Filed under: uncultured bacterium
Lineage: Bacteria
Description: partial 16S ribosomal RNA
Rfam family: Bacterial small subunit ribosomal RNA
Source: RNAcentral
AUUGAACGCUGGCGGCAGGCCUAACACAUGCAAGUCGAGCGGAUGAAGGGAGCUUGCUCCUGGAUUCAGCGGCGGACGGGUGAGUAAUGCCUAGGAAUCUGCCUGGUAGUGGGGGAUAACGUCCGGAAACGGGCGCUAAUACCGCAUACGUCCUGAGGGAGAAAGUGGGGGAUCUUCGGACCUCACGCUAUCAUAUGAGCCUAGGUCGGAUUAGCUAGUUGGUGGGGUAAAGGCCUACCAAGGCGACGAUCCGUAACUGGUCUGAGAGGAUGAUCAGUCACACUGGAGCUGAGACACGGUCCAGACUCCUACGGGAGGCAGCAGUGGGGAAUAUUGGACAAUGGGCGAAAGCCUGAUCCAGCCAUGCCGCGUGUGUGAAGAAGGUCUUCGGAUUGUAAAGCACUUUAAGUUGGGAGGAAGGGCAGUAAGUUAAUACCUUGCUGUUUUGACGUUACCAACAGAAUAAGCACCGGCUAACUUCGUG